GCCUCGGUGGCUCUGAGGCGAGAGCGCUGGCCUUCGGAUCCCCAUCUGGCGGGUUCGAAUCCCGGCCGAGGUG
Ixodes scapularis (black-legged tick) is the source of this 73-nucleotide non-coding RNA. Lineage: Eukaryota; Metazoa; Arthropoda; Arachnida; Ixodida; Ixodidae. The record is from Rfam.